UAGGAGCAAUAUUACAAUCCAGUAGAUGGGAGUGGGUUUCUGGCAUGGAGAGUGAAAGCACUUCAAAAAGAAGCAUCAGAGGGACAAAAGAAGAACAGAACCGCUCAGCUAAUGACGGGUGGUCCAAAUGCUUGUGACAGAAUCCCCUUCUGUGAGGAAAACCAGCUAACAGAAGCCCAGUGUUGUGAGGCCAUUGCACUGAUGAAGCAUACAACGGAUGAAGCAAUCAUCAAGAAGAUGAAACAGACCUUCACCUAUCGCCAAGCAAUGGUUCAUGAUCCAAUUAAGUCCUCUGAAAUAUUCACCACCUUUCCCAGAUUCCUUGACAUCGCAGGAAUGAUUGAUCAGGAUUUCAGUCUGAUGUUUGGUGGUGACAUCUCAGCAGAGUUCCUGGAGAAGUGGCCUACUUUCUACAGGCAGAAAGUCUUUGAACAAUGCAAUACUGUAUUAUUUGUUUCAUUGUGUAAUUAAAA
Long non-coding RNA from Myripristis murdjan (pinecone soldierfish), 473 nucleotides. RefSeq lists it as uncharacterized. Lineage: Eukaryota; Metazoa; Chordata; Actinopteri; Holocentriformes; Holocentridae. The record is from RefSeq and is a predicted model, not a curated record. The transcript has 3 exons.